GUCUUUUUGAUAAUAAUUUAAAGUCUGACCUGCCCACUGAAUAAUUUAAAUGGCCGCGGUAUUUUGACCGUGCAAAGGUAGCAUAAUCAUUAGUUUUUUAAUUGAAAGCUGGAAUGAAGGGUUGAAUAAGAAAAUAACUGUCUCAAUUUAAAUUUAUUAGAAUUUUAUUUUUAAGUUAAAAAGCUUAAAUAAUAUUAAUAGACGAGAAGACCCUGUAGAGUUUAAUAAAAAUUAAUAUUUAAUAAGUUUAGAAUAAAUAAAUAAAUAUUAAUAAUUAUUUGAUUGGGGUGAUUAAAAAAUUUAAAAAACUUUUUUUUUAUUUUUACAUUAAUAAGUGAAUACUUGAUCCAUAAGUUUUGAUUAUAAGAUAAAAUUACCUUAGGGAUAACAGCGUGAUUUUUUUUGAGAGUUCUAAUCGAAAAAAGAGAUUGCGACCUCGAUGUUGGAUUAAAGUUAAUAUUUGGUGUAGAAGCUAAUAUAUUAGGUCUGUUCGACCUUUAAAUCUUUACAUGAUCUGAGUUUAAACCGGUGUGAGCCAGGUUGGUUUCUAUCUUUAAUAAGAAAUAAUAUUUUAGUACGAAAGGACCAAAUAUUAAAUAAAUUAUUUUUUUUUAGAAUAAUAUUAAUUAUUUUGGCAGAUUAGUGCGAUAGAUUUAGAAUCUAUAAAUGUAAGAUUUUACAAAUAAUACUUGAGAUUUAAGGAUUUAUUAUUAGUUUUAGUUUCUUUAGUAAUUUUAGUUAUUAUAGUAUUGGUAGGUGUUGCUUUUUUAACAU
Molecule: ribosomal RNA, 774 nt
Filed under: Anommatus duodecimstriatus
Lineage: Eukaryota; Metazoa; Arthropoda; Insecta; Coleoptera; Bothrideridae
Description: partial 16S ribosomal RNA
Rfam family: Bacterial large subunit ribosomal RNA (bases 1-578)
Source: RNAcentral